RNAcentral lists this ribosomal RNA (466 nucleotides) under uncultured bacterium. Its description in RNAcentral is "partial 16S ribosomal RNA". It matches the Rfam family "Bacterial small subunit ribosomal RNA", at positions 28 to 507 of the family's 1533-position model. The record is from RNAcentral.
GAUGAACGCUGGCGGCGUGCUUAACACAUGCAAGUCGAACGAUGAAGCCCAGCUUGCUGGGUGGAUUAGUGGCGAACGGGUGAGUAACACGUGAGUAACCUGCCCUUAACUCUGGGAUAAGCCUGGGAAACUGGGUCUAAAACCGGAUAGGAGCGUCCACCGCAUGGUGGGUGUUGGAAAGAUUUAUCGGUUUUGGAUGGACUCGCGGCCUAUCAGCUUGUUGGUGAGGUAAUGGCUCACCAAGGCGACGACGGGUAGCCGGCCUGAGAGGGUGACCGGCCACACUGGGACUGAGACACGGCCCAGACUCCUACGGGAGGCAGCAGUGGGGAAUAUUGCACAAUGGGCGCAAGCCUGAUGCAGCGACGCCGCGUGAGGGAUGACGGCCUUCGGGUUGUAAACCUCUUUCAGUAGGGAAGAAGCGAAAGUGACGGUACCUGCAGAAGAAGCACCGGCUAACUACGUG